RNAcentral lists this ribosomal RNA (460 nucleotides) under uncultured bacterium. Its description in RNAcentral is "partial 16S ribosomal RNA". It matches the Rfam family "Bacterial small subunit ribosomal RNA", at positions 338 to 795 of the family's 1533-position model. The record is from RNAcentral.
CCUACGGGAGGCAGCAGUGAGGAAUAUUGGUCAAUGGCCGAAAGUCUGAACCAGCCAAGCCGCGUGAGGGAAGAAGGCUCUAUGGGUUGUAAACUUCUUUUGUCCGGGAGUAAAUCCCCCUACGUGUGUGUGUUUGCAAGUAUCUUACGAAUAAGGAUCGGCUAACUCCGUGCCAGCAGCCGCGGUAAUACGGAGGAUUCGAGCGUUAUCCGGAUUUAUUGGGUUUAAAGGGUGCGUAGGCGGUUUGAUAAGUUAGGGGUGAAAUCCCGGGGCUCAACCCCGGCACUGACGCUGAGACUGUUGGGCUUGAGUGGAGUAGAGGUAGGCGGAAUGCAUGGUGUAGCGGUGAAAUGCAUAGAUAUCACACAGAACACCGAUUGCGAAGGCAGCUUACCAAACUACGACUGACGUUGAGGCACGAAAGCGUGGGGAGCAAACAGGAUUAGAUACCCGAGUAGUC